RNAcentral lists this small nuclear RNA (101 nucleotides) under Prolemur simus (greater bamboo lemur). Lineage: Eukaryota; Metazoa; Chordata; Mammalia; Primates; Lemuridae. The record is from RNAcentral.
CAGCUCACUUCAGCAGCACACAUACUAAAAUUGGAACAAGAAGAUAAGCACGGCCCCUGCACAAGGAUGACAUGCAAACUCCUGAAGCACUCCAUAUUUUU